GUAGUGGGGCCCUCGCUCAGCUGUUGCGGGGCGGGGCUGCUGCUGACCAUGGCGGGCGAGUUCGAGAGCUCCAAAUCUCUGAGUGGGUUGCUGAACGGCCUGGCCCAGGAAGCUUUCUAUGGGCACCAAGGCAUCACGGAGGAGCUGCUGCGGAGCCAGCUCUAUCCCGAGGUGUCACUCGAGGAAUUCCGCCCCUUUCUGGCGAAGAUGAGGGGGAUUCUUAAGUCAAUUGCAUCUGCAGACAUGGAUUUCAACCAGCUGGAGGCAUUCUUGACUGCUCAAACCAAAAAGCAAGGUGGGAUCUCAUCUGACCAAGCGGCUGUCAUUUCCAAAUUCUGGAAAAGCCACAAGAUAAAAAUUCGAGAGAGUCUCAUGAACCAGAGCCGUUGGGACAGUGGGCUUCGGGGCCUGAGUUGGAGAGUUGACGGCAAAUCGCAGUCAAGGCAUUCAGCUCAGAUACAUACCCCUGUUGCCAUAAUGGAGCUGGAAAUAGGGAAAAGUGGACAGAUUGGACCAGAAGUAUAUCAAAGCCCAUAAAAUCCAUUGCAUCAUAUGAUGAAGUCUUUUGCUGGAUAUAGCUGUAAAGAUCUGGAUCAGAUAGAUAAGAUCUGUCUUCACUUCCAUAGUUCUUCCACGUACCUUAACUCUGGCUUGGUUUCUUCCUAGUUAAUAGGACUGCUCUAAGGAUCAGAUGAGGUCAUUCAUACAAAAGGGCUUUCUAAACUGUAAAGCACUGUGUUAGUGUGAGGGAUGAUUGUUGUAUAUGAACAAAGGCCCCAGCAACCUAAGUGAUGUCAGAAUGCAACCCUAGGUAAUAAAGAUGCAAUCUCCUCUCUUCCUGCCACUUCAGAAGUUUGCAGUAAAUUAUUUGAGCUAAAAAGGCUAGUGACUAACUUCAUGCACUGACUGCAAAUCCUUUCUUCUUCUCUCAUCCCCAUAUUCUCUCACGGAAUGGUGUGCCAGAUUCUGAGUCAGUCUUCAGGCCUGGACUUUGGGACACGGCAUGGCAGGCAAAGUAUUUCAUAGGAUCUGGGAAUGAGGAUUAGCAAAGAUUUCUUUUGUACCAUUUUCCAAUCCCCCUCCUGGCAGCUUUUAUCCUGUCAGCCCCCACAGAUUAAAUCACAUUUCAAAAUUGAGUUCAGUGAGGAUGAAGCCAGAUGAGGCUUCUGCCAAACUAGGCUGGCAGACCUGAGUAAGCAGCAGAUAGCGAGUGUGCAUGUAUGUGUGUGUGUUUCUGGAAUAUUAUAAAUUUCUUUCUGUAUAAUAAGAACAGCAAGCCUAGAAUUAUGUGUGAGAUCAUCAUCAUUAUCAUCAACCAAAAACACAUAAUGCUUGGUAAAUGCGACCCUCCAAGCUGUUGUGAUUAUUAUGGGCUGAAUUGUGUCCCCUGCCAAUUCAUAUUAAAGUCCCAACCCCCAAAGCCUUAGAAUGUAACUGUAUUUGGAGUUCGUUGGAAACCCAACAAAAUUAAUUACCUUUCCCCCACAAACUUGACAAAAAUAAAAAAAUGUUUCCAAAACUUUUUCUCCCCAAAUCAGCAUUUUCUGAAUCUGAAAGCUCUCCCACCCUUAGUCAUUUCAUCCUUUACCCUCUUUACAUAGUUUUGCUUUCUAAAGAGAAGAGUAAAGGGAGAUGCUUACUUUUUAACUAUGCCUAUUUCUGUAUAAUUGUGCUGUCAUGAAUGACUUAAAAGAAACCACAUUGAGACAGCUAGGACAUAGAUGGUGCUGUUGGCAGAGCAAGUUGAUGAUGCCUCUGGCUGGAGAAAAUCUGCAGUCCCAGAAUCGGUUUGAUUAGUUUUACUUCUGUUUUCCUCCCUUGCCCAAGAGUUUGUCAUUCAUUGCUGUACUCUGGUCUUUUUAAUGGGAAUCUGAAUUUCUAUGUUUGGAAUUUGAUGAAGUCAAGGUCAAUCAACUCCUAAAGAAGCUUUCAGAGGUAGAAGAAAGUAU
RNA transcript from Mustela erminea (ermine), 1949 nucleotides. It is a transcript of the gene named copper metabolism domain containing 1, with no coding region annotated. The transcript is spliced from 4 exons. The record is from RefSeq and is a predicted model, not a curated record. Lineage: Eukaryota; Metazoa; Chordata; Mammalia; Carnivora; Mustelidae.